GACGAACGCUGGCGGCGUGCUUAACACAUGCAAGUCGAGCGAUGAAGUUCCUUCGGGAGUGGAUUAGCGGCGGACGGGUGAGUAACACGUGGGUAACCUGCCUCGUAGAGGGGAAUAGCCUUCCGAAAGGAAGAUUAAUACCGCAUAAGAUUGUAGCUUCGCAUGAAGCAGCAAUUAAAGGAGCAAUCCGCUAUGAGAUGGACCCGCGUCGCAUUAGCUAGUUGGUGAGGUAACGGCUCACCAAGGCGACGAUGCGUAGCCGACCCGAGAGGGUGAUCGGCCACAUUGGGAUUGAGAAACGGCCCAGACUCCGACGGGAGGCAGCAGUGGGGAAUAUUGCACAAUGGGGGAAACCCUGAUGCAGCAACGCCGCGUGAGUGAUGACGGUCUUCGGAUUGUAAAACUCUGUCUUUAGGGACGAUAAUGACGGUACCUGAGGAGGAAGCCACGGCUAACUACGUGCCAGCCGCCGCCGUAA
Molecule: ribosomal RNA, 478 nt
Filed under: uncultured bacterium
Lineage: Bacteria
Description: partial 16S ribosomal RNA
Rfam family: Bacterial small subunit ribosomal RNA
Source: RNAcentral